UGCAUUACAAUUGAAUACGAUCGUAUAACGCUAGGAAUAUGGCCUGGAAGUCUCUACCGAAACACCGUAAAUGUUUCGACUACGAUCCUGAAUAGAAGAGUU
RNAcentral lists this non-coding RNA (102 nucleotides) under Sporosarcina newyorkensis. RNAcentral describes it as "Guanine sequence". It matches the Rfam family "Purine riboswitch aptamer". Rfam says of the family: Riboswitches are metabolite binding domains within certain messenger RNAs that serve as precision sensors for their corresponding targets. Allosteric rearrangement of mRNA structure is mediated by ligand binding, and this results in modulation of gene expression. The record is from RNAcentral. Lineage: Bacteria; Bacillati; Bacillota; Bacilli; Caryophanales; Caryophanaceae.